Xenopus tropicalis (tropical clawed frog) is the source of this 214-nucleotide long non-coding RNA. RefSeq lists it as uncharacterized. Lineage: Eukaryota; Metazoa; Chordata; Amphibia; Anura; Pipidae. The record is from RefSeq and is a predicted model, not a curated record. The transcript is spliced from 3 exons.
ACACACAGAGCAUCAAAAAUGGUGGCUCAUGGCAAAGAGGUUAAGAUCAAUAUUGACUGAUAGUACUCUCCAAAAAAUAAAAUGAUGGAUGAAUGUCACAGUGCCAGAUUUCUGCUUUUAUUUGCCAGCACCUCACUCCAGGAGCACACAUGCAGAGACAACAGAACAACUGCUGCUGUGGGAACCCUUUCACCACUGCCAUUGAGCAGAAGCU